Molecule: ribosomal RNA, 516 nt
Filed under: Saturnispora silvae
Lineage: Eukaryota; Fungi; Ascomycota; Pichiomycetes; Pichiales; Pichiaceae
Description: partial large subunit ribosomal RNA
Rfam family: Eukaryotic large subunit ribosomal RNA
Source: RNAcentral
CGAGUGAGCGGCAAAAGCUCCAUUUUGAAAGCUCUUCGGAGCGUUGUAGAUUGGUGGGAAGCUAACGGCUGGUGGGAGACCAAGUCCUCUGGAACGAGGCGCCAUAGAGGGUGAGAGCCCCGUGUGUCUCCUUUACCGACCUUUCAGCCCCCUCCGCGGAGUCGAGUUGUUUGGGAAUGCAGCUCUAAGUGGGUGGUAAAUUCCAUCUAAGGCUAAAUAUUGGCGAGAGACCGAUAGCGAACAAGUACAGUGAUGGAAAGAUGAAAAGCACUUUGAAAAGAGAGUGAAACAGUACGUGAAAUUGUUGAAAGGGAAGGGUAUUUGGCCCGACAUGGGUCCUAUGCACCGUUGCCUCUCGUGGGCGGCGCUCUGCUUGGGCCUGGGCCAGCGUCAGUUUGGAGGGGGCGAGAAGGGUUUUGGGGAGUUGCCUAGCAAUUCCCCUUUGCUAGAUUGCCCCACACCGGACUGAGGACCGCCAUCUGUAGGAUGCUGGCACAACGGCCAAAUACCGCCCGU